UUCUUUAAGUGAGAAUAGCUGUCUGAUGAAAGUAUGAAAAUCAAAUACAGGAUAAAGACAAAAUAGAGGUAAUUACUUUGGUGAUAUAAUUACCAUCAUUAUGGGUAAAAGCAAAUUAACCACACAUACAGCAAUUUUUCAUGUUAAGUUUCUCAUUUCAGUUUACAAGCAGGUUUUAUUUUACUUUCCCCCACACCUUCUGGGAGCAGCUGCAGUUAGUGCCUGCCUGUUCAGGUACAAUACUUCUUCCAAAACUUGGAAAGAGCAACAAAACCCACACAUAUCUUGUGUAUCAAGACAUAUUUAAGGCUGCCUAUGAGACUGCACGCUUUCCACCUUACCUUGUCCUAAUCUGGUAUUGAAUGGCAUCACAGCAGUACUGAGCAGGAGCUAAAGGAGGUUUGGGUCUGUACAACCAUCCCCCAGCUCUUCCCAAGGAGCUCAUACAACCCAAUCUGCUUUUCACAGCCUUAAGAUUCUCCUUCUAGUCCAAGAACUGAAAUUAUCACAGUGACACCAUGAAGCCAUCUUCACUACUACACAUCUUUCUCUUUUGUUGUAAAUAGAAUAUUUCACCCAGAUGAAUUCAGGGGUUUAUGCUACUGAGCCAAAAUUCCUCUUCCUCCUCAUUCGUUUGCUUCUAGAUACCAUCAGGAAGGAAACUUCAGGAAGUCUCACAUCAACUUCCAUCCUAAAAGACUUAAACGUUCACUGAAUGGGCUGUGUUUAGAGAAAGGUAACCAAAUCAGCUGCUUCACUGCAUCUAAUGCACUUUAAAACCACCAAAGAUAUUUUGGUUGCCACUCCAGAAGACAGUAAGUCUUUCAUUAGUCCUGUGUCACUUCUGCUAUCCCCCUGCAGAGGAUUCCAUCUAGACAAAAGAAACAAGCUCUGUAGAAAGGAUUCUCCACAGCUAUUAUGCCAUCCUGCAAUUAAAUAUGUUUACAAUAUGUCUUGUACUCAGAUCUUCUAAUAAGCUCCAUACUGCAUCAAUGUGAUUUGAAUCUGGGACUCUCCAGUCUUCCUCCUGCAUCUCUGUUCCCAGAAAAUCACAACCACCUUCUCUGCUCAAAUCUCUCCUCAGAAAUAAAGAACAUAAAGGCCUCA
Long non-coding RNA from Pezoporus occidentalis (night parrot), 1107 nucleotides. RefSeq lists it as uncharacterized. Lineage: Eukaryota; Metazoa; Chordata; Aves; Psittaciformes; Psittacidae. The transcript is spliced from 3 exons. The record is from RefSeq and is a predicted model, not a curated record.